This 61-nucleotide transfer RNA is filed under the name Ictidomys tridecemlineatus (thirteen-lined ground squirrel). RNAcentral describes it as "Spermophilus tridecemlineatus (thirteen-lined ground squirrel) tRNA". It matches the Rfam family "tRNA", at positions 6 to 65 of the family's 71-position model. From Rfam's summary of the family: Transfer RNA (tRNA) molecules are approximately 80 nucleotides in length. Their secondary structure includes four short double-helical elements and three loops (D, anti-codon, and T loops). Lineage: Eukaryota; Metazoa; Chordata; Mammalia; Rodentia; Sciuridae. The record is from Rfam by way of RNAcentral.
UGUGGCUUAGUGGAAGAGCGCUUGCCUCAUAUGUAUGAGACACUGGGUUUGAUUCUCAGCA